UUCGGGGGUACUCGAGUGGCGAACGGGUGAGUAACACGUGGGCAAUCUGCCCUGCACUUCGGGAUAAGCCUGGGAAACUGGGUCUAAUACCGGAUAGGACCUUUAGACGCAUGUCUUUUGGUGNAAAGCUUUUGCGGUGUGGGAUGGGCCCGCGGCCUAUCAGCUUGUUGGUGGGGUGAUGGCCUACCAAGGCGACGACGGGUAGCCGGCCUGAGAGGGUGUCCGGCCACACUGGGACUGAGAUACGGCCCAGACUCCUACGGGAGGCAGCAGUGGGGAAUAUUGCACAAUGGGCGCAAGCCUGAUGCAGCGACGCCGCGUGGGGGAUGACGGCCUUCGGGUUGUAAACCUCUUUCACCAUCGACGAAGGUUCGGGUUUUCUCGGAUUGACGGUAGGUGGAGAAGAAGCACCGGCCAACUACGUGCCAGCAGCCGCGGUAAUACGUAGGGUGCGAGCGUUGUCCGGAAUUACUGGGCGUAAAGAGCUCGUAGGUGGUUUGUCGCGUUGUUCGUGAAAUCUCACGGCUUAACUGUGAGCGUGCGGGCGAUACGGGCAGACUAGAGUACUGCAGGGGAGACUGGAAUUCCUGGUGUAGCGGUGGAAUGCGCAGAUAUCAGGAGGAACACCGGUGGCGAAGGCGGGUCUCUGGGCAGUAACUGACGCUGAGGAGCGAAAGCGUGGGGAGCGAACAGGAUUAGAUACCCUGGUAGUCCACGCCGUAAACGGUGGGUACUAGGUGUGGGUUUCCUUCCUUGGGAUCCGUGCCGUAGCUAACGCAUUAAGUACCCCGCCUGGGGAGUUCCGCCGCAAGGCUAAAACUCAAAGGAAUUGACGGGGGCCCGCACAAGCGGCGGAGCAUGUGGAUUAAUUCGAUGCAACGCGAAGAACCUUACCUGGGUUUGACAUGCACAGGACGCGUCUAGAGAUAGGCGUUCCCUUGUGGCCUGUGUGCAGGUGGUGCAUGGCUGUCGUCAGCUCGUGUCGUGAGAUGUUGGGUUAAGUCCCGCAACGAGCGCAACCCUUGUCUCAUGUUGCCAGCGGGUAAUGCCGGGGACUCGUGAGAGACUGCCGGGGUCAACUCGGAGGAAGGUGGGGAUGACGUCAAGUCAUCAUGCCCCUUAUGUCCAGGGCUUCACACAUGCUACAAUGGCCGGUACAAAGGGCUGCGAUGCCGCAAGGUUAAGCGAAUCCUUUUAAAGCCGGUCUCAGUUCGGAUUGGGGUCUGCAACUCGACCCCAUGAAGUCGGAGUCGCUAGUAAUCGCAGAUCAGCAACGCUGCGGUGAAUACG
RNAcentral lists this ribosomal RNA (1290 nucleotides) under Mycobacterium intracellulare. RNAcentral's name for it is "bacterial SSU rRNA". It matches the Rfam family "Bacterial small subunit ribosomal RNA", at positions 80 to 1370 of the family's 1533-position model. The record is from RNAcentral. Lineage: Bacteria; Bacillati; Actinomycetota; Actinomycetes; Mycobacteriales; Mycobacteriaceae.